Molecule: ribosomal RNA, 482 nt
Filed under: uncultured bacterium
Lineage: Bacteria
Description: partial 16S ribosomal RNA
Rfam family: Bacterial small subunit ribosomal RNA
Source: RNAcentral
AUUGAACGCUGGCGGCAUGCUUUACACAUGCAAGUCGAACGGUAACAGGCCGCAAGGUGCUGACGAGUGGCGAACGGGUGAGUAAUGCAUCGGAACGUGCCCAGUCGUGGGGGAUAACUACUCGAAAGAGUAGCUAAUACCGCAUACGAUCUAUGGAUGAAAGCGGGGGACCGUAAGGCCUCGCGCGAUUGGAGCGGCCGAUGUCGGAUUAGGUAGUUGGUGGGGUAAAGGCUCACCAAGACAACGAUCUGUAGCUGGUCUGAGAGGACGACCGGCCACACGGGGACUGAGACACGGCCCAGACUCCUACGGGAGGCAGCAGUGGGGAAUUUUGGACAAUGGGCGCAAGCCUGAUCCAGCAAUGCCGCGUGCAGGAAGAAGGCCUUCGGGUUGUAAACUGCUUUUGUACGGAGCGAAACGGCUCUGGUUAAUACCCGGGGCUAAUGACGGUACCGUAAGAAUAAGCACCGGCUAACUACGUG